GGGGGCGUAAAGGCUUCGACGGGGAUUUUGAAGUAUGAUAAGCGAGUAGAGGUCGCACCAACUCUUUAAACGGUGUAAAAUUAAUUAUAAACGCUAACGAUAAUAACGUUUUAAUGGCUGCUUAGUCAGCCAUUCGUCUGCUGUAGUAGUACCACGGACUGCAAUCAGGCGUCAUUUAGUGGUGAACGUUCUGUUUGAGUGCCUGUGCUUUCAGAAUGUAUUUCAGGCUACCAAGUCUUUCAGCUUGUUUGUCAGCGGCUAGAUAAGGGAAUGUAAAGGAUAAACUAUACUCGUAGAAAUUUAUAUGAAUGGAUUUUCGGACACGAGUUCAAUUCUCGUCGCCUCCACCA
Molecule: transfer-messenger RNA, 350 nt
Filed under: Clostridiales bacterium
Lineage: Bacteria; Bacillati; Bacillota; Clostridia; Eubacteriales
Rfam family: transfer-messenger RNA
About the family: Bacterial tmRNA, also known as 10Sa RNA or SsrA, is named for its dual tRNA and mRNA-like properties. Its role is to liberate the mRNA from a stalled ribosome.
Source: RNAcentral